CAGAAAAUAGUUUAUUUAAAAUAUUAAUUUUGGAGAUUAAAGAUAAAGAUUCUUUUUUUCUGA
RNAcentral lists this transfer RNA (63 nucleotides) under Mordella atrata. RNAcentral describes it as "tRNA-Pro". Lineage: Eukaryota; Metazoa; Arthropoda; Insecta; Coleoptera; Mordellidae. The record is from RNAcentral. RNAcentral also lists the same sequence under 1 other name.